This 492-nucleotide ribosomal RNA is filed under the name uncultured bacterium. RNAcentral describes it as "partial 16S ribosomal RNA". It matches the Rfam family "Bacterial small subunit ribosomal RNA", at positions 30 to 507 of the family's 1533-position model. The record is from RNAcentral.
AUUGAACGCUGGCGGCAUGCUUUACACAUGCAAGUCGAACGGUAACAGGCCUUCGGGUGCUGCCGGGUGGCGAACGGGUGAGUAAUGCACCGGAACGUACCCAGUGGUGGGGGAUAACGCAGCGAAAGCUGUGCUAAUACCGCAUGUGCUCUGAGGUUGAAAGCGGGGGACCGAGCAGCAAUGUUUGGCCUCGUGCUUUUGUAGCGGCCGAUGUCGGAUUAGCUAGUUGGCGGGGUAAAGGCCUACCAAGGCGACGAUCCGUAGCUGGUCUGAGAGGACGACCAGCCACACUGGGACUGAGACACGGCCCAGACUCCUACGGGAGGCAGCAGUGGGGAAUUUUGGACAAUGGGCGCAAGCCUGAUCCAGCAAUGCCGCGUGCGGGAAGAAGGCCUUCGGGUUGGAAACCGCUUUUGGCAGGAACGAAACGGUGUCCGCUAAUACCGGGCGCUAAUGACGGUACCUGCAGAAUAAGCACCGGCUAACUACGUG